GUUACCAUAGCGACGUGCACGCAGUAGCCAGGCCUGACCCGCUGGUCCCCUACUGGCGGGAGGAAAGAGGCGGCACCAUGAGCCACGCAGUAACCAUCGAGGAGCCCCAGGCCCAGCCGCAGGUGUCUCAAACUCGGUACCGGGAGAGGUCGCGGGCUGGGAGCCACAUCUCCUCCAAUCGAGCGUAUGAUUUUCUGUACGAUCCAUUGUUUAUUGUGUCAAGUGAGAAAGACCACACACAGGCAAAUAUCCAAGCCACCCUGAUUCGCAGCAGACUGAGAAAAGUUCCCAGGUUUAAAACCAUGUUCAGUAACCUGAUCCAUUAUCCAAGAUAUUCUCUAUAUUGGAGCAAGUCAGAUCCUGUCCCACCAUUUAUCAGUCGGGAAUGGAAGGGACAUAAGGAGAAACACAGAGAAGCCCUCCAGCAGCUCACCACAACUGACGCUUCUUUUCAGAUGCCUAAAGAAGUUUAUGAAGAUCCUGAAGUUACUGGAAAGAAUCGCUAUAAAUACUUUGAAAGGCCUUUUCUUCCAUUUUUUCAGCAGAUGCCAUUCAAUGUUGUUUAUGCCGUAUCCAAGGCAGAACCAUACACUUUUCCUCCUACUUCUACUAAGCACCUAUCCAUCCCUUCAAAGUCUACUGUGGGCACUCAGACUGAUUAUCGGGAUGCUGACGUUCAAACAGAUCCAUACUCUCCAGAGUAUGUAGUAUGUCAGGACUCAAUCCCUGAGCUCUUGACCCUGGCUACGCUUACUUGGGGUCGGGGUCUCCCAGCAGGACAAGCUGAGGUGGAGAUGAUAGAAAGAGCCCGCGAGAAGCGUGCUUGGGAAGCCACUCUCCCCGCUCUGAGUGACACCUCCCAGUUUGAGAAGAGGAGGAAGAUGAUGAAUGAAAUGGAGAGGAAGGAGUGGGCCUUCAGAGAGCAGGAGAUUGAAAAACUGCAGGAGAUUCGCCUGGAAGUUCUAAAAGAGCUGUUGAGGAAGCGUGAAGAGAAUCAGAAUGAAGUGAAUAUGAAGCACUUGAAUGCCCGGUGGUCUAAACUGCAGGAGGGAAAAGAGGCAAAAAUGGCAAAAAUUCAGCGCACGCAUGUAUCAACAAUCAGAAAACUUGUAGGAAAGAGAAAGAAUAUAGAAGGGAAGUUGGAGAGAAGAAAUAUCAUCAAGGAUUAUUCUGAUUAUGCAUCACAGGUCUAUGGACCUCUGUCUCGUCUUGGGUGUUUCCCAGACAACAACUCAGAGGACUUUGUAGUAAAAAACUACUAUCUCAACACCUAUGAAGGAUUAGUGGAACUUGAGUCAUGUCUCCCAGAUUUUGUGACACAACCCCGAAUCAGAGCUCCAAAACCUAAAGUCAUUACCACCAAAGCUGGUUUUCUGAAGAGGACAGCAAGGUUGGACUAUGAGUUGGCAGAGGUUCAUAAGGCACUGUUGGAUAAGAAGAAUAAAGUUCUUGAAGCAAAGAAACCCCCUCGCUUCCUUCAAAGAAACCCAAUACCUCAACCUCGGCUUCCAACUCCAACCUUGGAAAUGACAUCCAAUGAAGAAGAAGAAAUAGAAAUGGCUGUGAUCUACCUUCAAAAGUUACUCCGGGGCAGAGUCGUUCAAAACAUGAUGUUUGAAGGGAAAGAAAAGCGACUGGAGUUGAUCCAGGAGUUGCGCACCUGCCACGCACUACAAGAAGAUGAAAAGCUGGUGAAAAAAGCCGAGAAGCAAGUGACCCUGGCCUUACAGCGGCAGAGGAACUUGCAUGAGCACAAGGUUUUCCUUUUUUUGUUUUCUUGUUACUUUCUUGUUAAAUUUUCUCGCUUGAUUUUAUCAUCACACAGCACCAUUAUAAUAAAAAUUAAUGAAAUGAUGAAAAAGAAA
RNAcentral lists this small RNA (1865 nucleotides) under Pan troglodytes (chimpanzee). RNAcentral's name for it is "retained intron". The record is from RNAcentral. Lineage: Eukaryota; Metazoa; Chordata; Mammalia; Primates; Hominidae.